GUCCCACGUAGGGGCUCCCUGCAUGGAGCCUGCUCUGCCUCUCUCUGUGUGUCUGUAAUGAAUAAAAAAAAAAAAAAAAAAAAAGUCCAAUCUCACACCGGAAAUGCUGAAGAACAAAAGACAAGAAACUGGUAAGUGGGAUCUGAUACUCAAUAAAUAAAAGACGCUUAGCUCAAGUUAUAAUGUCCUCAGUCUCUGCAGCUGUAAAAUGAAGAGAGUAAUAGUACCUACCUCCUCAUAUGCAGCAUAAAAGCAAGAUAAUAUGCCCACUUGCUCGGUGACAGCAUAUGUGCUGAUCAUAGAACAGUGCCCAGCACGUAAGAAUUCAGUCAAUGUUGGCUAUCAUCACUUUCACUGAAAAGCACGACUGGAAUCAGACGACACCAGUUCCAUUCCCAGCGCUGCUGUUACUGCCUGGGUGCACAGCAAGCCCCCUGCACCGGGCCUCAGUUUCUAUCGCUGAAAAGUGGCUUUUUUUCCCACUUUUUUUUUUUUUUUAAGAAACUGCUUAUUUUCCGUCAGCUUUAUUGCCAUUUUGUGCGUGUCUGUGAAAGAACAGCGUAAGGCCCCCGGGUGAGGGUUCGCAGGCACGCGGGCCAGUCCCGGGAGCGCGCGGUGCGCGAGGCCUCCAGGGCAGCAGCGCCCUCAGCUCCGCCUGCCGCCCCACGGGAAGUGUCCGUGCUUUCGGGAGCCGCGGCAGCCCACUCACCCUGAAAUUCCUUCUCCGUCGUGGCCCGCGGCAGCAGCCUGCUCUUCCUGUUCCAUCCCUUCAGGAUCUCUGCAGCAGAGACCCGCGCGGCCUCCUCCCCGAGUGGGCCUCGGGAGGGGCUGCACAUGCGCAGAGGCUCUGGGCCAGCGCCCCCCUGCGGCCUGGGCUGGAAAUGUCCACGUGGCCCCGAGGAGCAUCCGUGUGACACAGGUGACCGCACCUGUGCGGGGCCGCUGCUGGUCAGCAGCGGGACUAGUGACGGCGGGAGUCGCGGCCCUCGGAGGACUGGCUGGGCUGGCUUGGCGAAGGUCCAAGGAUGGGGCGGCCGGCAACAGAGGUGGCUCUGGUGGCGGCAGCAACUUCCAGCACAUCUUGCCGGCCAGGAUUCCUGGAGGAUACGACACUGACCUUGGCUGGGUUUUCAAGGGCUUGAGCUAUCAGCACAAGCGUCUUCGAUGUGUGAUGCAGGCGCCAUCACCGCCAUCACCGUUGCUUCUGAGGAUGCGCUGUCCCAUUCGGAAGUCAAGGUGGGCGCCGUAUCAAUGGGUUCCUGCUGCAAGAUGUGAGGACGUCUUCCUUGGUAGGACAUCAAGGACUCUGCACAAGGUGAAGGUAUGCCUUAAAGUUUUGAUGGGACCCGAAAACGAUGCCAUAUGGGCCCCUCUCUGGGGAGUAUGGAAAGGCCCUUUCUCACUUUGAACAUCGCAUUUUUUUUCCCAUCUCACAUGCCAACAUCCACACCUUCUGCUCCACACCGGGGAAACCCAUUGUGGGGUUUAUAGAGAGCCUAACCCUCAAAACUAUAGCUAGAAGAUAAAAAGUAAGGGCUUUGGGCCAUUGGGAGAUGCUGAAGACAUUUACAAGACAAAAAUAAUCCGGUGUGACACUAUGUCAAAGUCUCAUCUGGAAAAUGAUAGCACAUUUCAACUACUAUCGAGCAUUAAUUUCUUAGAAAGUUUAACAAGUGGAUAGUAAAGCCCCAAACAAAUAAUGCACAGAGAAACUAGGUUUUAAAGACACAUUCAAAGGGAAUGGAGGAUUCUGUCUGGGAAGGCUGAGGUGGGAUGGGAUAGAAACGAUACAGUGGUACUUCUCAAACUGUAAUGUGACUGAAUCACCUAGAGAUCUCAUUAUAAUGCAGGUUCGCAUUCAGCAGGUCGGGGGUGGGACCUGAGAUUCUGCAUUUCUAAUGAGCUCUGGUCCACAGACCACACUCUCAGUCAUACCAUGGAAACCAGCAGUCCAGGUAUCCAGGACUUCUAUACCCAUGGAUGUGAUGCAAAAAAAGAAGAUUUUUCAACUCAAAUUUUUUUCUUGGAGUCAACGAAGUCAUUGCAGGCAUCUGACUUCCGAAAUAUCAUCCAGAAGAAUGAGCUUCAGAAAUGCCAAUCUCUGACCUAUCAGUGCACUGAACUAUCAGGGGCAACAUUUUUAAAUAACAUCAAAAACACAUGACAGGCCGGGGAUCCCCAGGUGGCUCAGCGGUUUGGCACCUGCCUUUGGCCCAGGGCAUGAUUCUGGAGUCCUGGGAUCGAGUUCCGCAUCGCACUCCCUGCAUGGAGCCUGCUUCUCCUCUGUCUGUGUCUGCGCCUCUCUCUCUAUGUCUCUCACGAAUAAA
Molecule: long non-coding RNA, 2327 nt
Filed under: Canis lupus familiaris (dog)
Lineage: Eukaryota; Metazoa; Chordata; Mammalia; Carnivora; Canidae
Description: lncRNA (ENSCAFG00000056358.1)
Source: RNAcentral